Molecule: ribosomal RNA, 253 nt
Filed under: uncultured bacterium
Lineage: Bacteria
Description: partial 16S ribosomal RNA
Rfam family: Bacterial small subunit ribosomal RNA
Source: RNAcentral
UACGUAGGUGACAAGCGUUGUCCGGAUUUACUGGGCGUAAAGAGCGCGCAGGCGGUCGUUCAAGUCGAGUGUGAAAGCCCCCGGCUCAACUGGGGAGGGUCAUUCGAUACUGUUCGACUCGAAGGCAGGAGAGGGAAGUGGAAUUCCCGGUGUAGUGGUGAAAUGCGUAGAUAUCGGGAGGAACACCAGUGGCGAAGGCGACUUCCUGGCCUGUUCUUGACGCUGAGGCGCGAAAGCUAGGGUAGCAAACGGG